RNAcentral lists this ribosomal RNA (506 nucleotides) under uncultured bacterium. RNAcentral describes it as "partial 16S ribosomal RNA". It matches the Rfam family "Bacterial small subunit ribosomal RNA", at positions 356 to 855 of the family's 1533-position model. The record is from RNAcentral.
UGGGAAUUUUGGACAAUGGGCGCAAGCCUGAUCCAGCAAUGCCGCGUGCAGGAUGAAGGCCUUCGGGUUGUAAACUGCUUUUGUACGGAACGAAAAGCCUCUCUCUAAUACAGGGGGGUGAUGACGGUACCGUAAGAAUAAGCACCGGCUAACUACGUGCCAGCAGCCGCGGUAAUACGUAGGGUGCAAGCGUUAAUCGGAAUUACUGGGCGUAAAGCGUGCGCAGGCGGUUUUGUAAGACAGUGGUGAAAUCCCCGGGCUCAACCUGGGAACUGCCAUUGUGACUGCAAGGCUGGAGUGCGGCAGAGGGGGAUGGAAUUCCGCGUGUAGCAGUGAAAUGCGUAGAUAUGCGGAGGAACACCGAUGGCGAAGGCAAUCCCCUGGGCCUGCACUGACGCUCAUGCACGAAAGCGUGGGGAGCAAACAGGAUUAGAUCCCUGGUAGUCCACGCCCUAAACGAUGNCAACUGGUUGUUGGGGGAUUUAUUUCUUCAGUAACGAAGCUAA